This 629-nucleotide ribosomal RNA is filed under the name Escherichia coli. RNAcentral's name for it is "partial 23S ribosomal RNA". It matches the Rfam family "Bacterial large subunit ribosomal RNA", at positions 1273 to 1887 of the family's 2925-position model. The record is from RNAcentral. Lineage: Bacteria; Pseudomonadati; Pseudomonadota; Gammaproteobacteria; Enterobacterales; Enterobacteriaceae.
CUGGAGGUAUCAGAAGUGCGAAUGCUGACAUAAGUAACGAUAAAGCGGGUGAAAAGCCCGCUCGCCGGAAGACCAAGGGUUCCUGUCCAACGUUAAUCGGGGCAGGGUGAGUCGACCCCUAAGGCGAGGCCGAAAGGCGUAGUCGAUGGGAAACAGGUUAAUAUUCCUGUACUUGGUGUUACUGCGAAGGGGGGACGGAGAAGGCUAUGUUGGCCGGGCGACGGUUGUCCCGGUUUAAGCGUGUAGGCUGGUUUUCCAGGCAAAUCCGGAAAAUCAAGGCUGAGGCGUGAUGACGAGGCACUACGGUGCUGAAGCAACAAAUGCCCUGCUUCCAGGAAAAGCCUCUAAGCAUCAGGUAACAUCAAAUCGUACCCCAAACCGACACAGGUGGUCAGGUAGAGAAUACCAAGGCGCUUGAGAGAACUCGGGUGAAGGAACUAGGCAAAAUGGUGCCGUAACUUCGGGAGAAGGCACGCUGAUAUGUAGGUGAGGUCCCUCGCGGAUGGAGCUGAAAUCAGUCGAAGAUACCAGCUGGCUGCAACUGUUUAUUAAAAACACAGCACUGUGCAAACACGAAAGUGGACGUAUACGGUGUGACGCCUGCCCGGUGCCGGAAGGUUAAUUGAUGG